CUAAUAGAAUGCUAUAGAGCCCCCAAAUUGCAACCACGCCGCUUCUCCUGUCUGUUUUUAGAUUGCAUUUCUGCUCCCACAAUCCCUCACACAUUUGUUGACACAGUCAGUGAACUACACACAGCAGAAGAAACAGUAACUCACAGAAGCAGUCUCAUAUAUAAAUGUACACACAGGUAUGUAUUCACACAGGGAGACACAUACACACACACCUAGAAAAUCAGCCACACAGGAAAAGACAUUCACAACUAGAGAUACACACAUUUAGAUAAAUACAAAACUCCAG
Non-coding RNA from Pelobates cultripes (western spadefoot toad), 286 nucleotides. The record is from the annotation of a GenBank genome assembly. Lineage: Eukaryota; Metazoa; Chordata; Amphibia; Anura; Pelobatidae.